RNAcentral lists this ribosomal RNA (2927 nucleotides) under Cronobacter sakazakii. Its description in RNAcentral is "bacterial LSU rRNA". It matches the Rfam family "Bacterial large subunit ribosomal RNA". Lineage: Bacteria; Pseudomonadati; Pseudomonadota; Gammaproteobacteria; Enterobacterales; Enterobacteriaceae. The record is from RNAcentral.
GGGUUGUGAGGUUAAGCGAACAAGCGUACACGGUGGAUGCCCUGGCAGUCAGAGGCGAUGAAGGACGUGCUAAUCUGCGAAAAGCGCCGGUAAGGUGAUAUGAACCGUUAUAACCGGCGAUGUCCGAAUGGGGAAACCCGGUGCACUUCGGUGCAUCAUCGUUAGCUGAAUACAUAGGCUAACGAGGCGAACCGGGGGAACUGAAACAUCUAAGUACCCCGAGGAAAAGAAAUCAACCGAGAUUCCCCCAGUAGCGGCGAGCGAACGGGGAACAGCCCAGAGCCUGAAUCAGCUUGUGUGUCAGUGGAACGGUCUGGAAAGGCCGGCGAUACAGGGUGACAGCCCCGUACACGAAGGCACACAGGCUGUGAGCUCGAUGAGUAGGGCGGGACACGUGAUAUCCUGUCUGAAGAUGGGGGGACCAUCCUCCAAGGCUAAAUACUCCUGACUGACCGAUAGUGAACCAGUACCGUGAGGGAAAGGCGAAAAGAACCCCGGCGAGGGGAGUGAAACAGAACCUGAAACCGUGUACGUACAAGCAGUGGGAGCCUUCGUAAGAGGGUGACUGCGUACCUUUUGUAUAAUGGGUCAGCGACUUAUAUUCUGUAGCAAGGUUAACCGUAUAGGGGAGCCGAAGGGAAACCGAGUCUUAAUUGGGCGUUAAGUUGCAGGGUAUAGACCCGAAACCCGGUGAUCUAGCCAUGGGCAGGUUGAAGGUUGGGUAACACUAACUGGAGGACCGAACCGACUAAUGUUGAAAAAUUAGCGGAUGACCUGUGGCUGGGGGUGAAAGGCCAAUCAAACCGGGAGAUAGCUGGUUCUCCCCGAAAGCUAUUUAGGUAGCGCCUCGUGAAUUCAUCUCCGGGGGUAGAGCACUGUUUCGGCUAGGGGGCCAUCCCGGCUUACCAACCCGAUGCAAACUGCGAAUACCGGAGAAUGUUAUCACGGGAGACACACGGCGGGUGCUAACGUCCGUCGUGAAGAGGGAAACAACCCAGACCGCCAGCUAAGGUCCCAAAGUCAUGGUUAAGUGGGAAACGAUGUGGGAAGGCCCAGACAGCCAGGAUGUUGGCUUAGAAGCAGCCAUCAUUUAAAGAAAGCGUAAUAGCUCACUGGUCGAGUCGGCCUGCGCGGAAGAUGUAACGGGGCUAAACCAUGCACCGAAGCUGCGGCAGCGACACUAUGUGUUGUUGGGUAGGGGAGCGUUCUGUAAGCCUGCGAAGGUGUGCUGUGAGGCAUGCUGGAGGUAUCAGAAGUGCGAAUGCUGACAUAAGUAACGAUAAAGCGGGUGAAAAGCCCGCUCGCCGGAAGACCAAGGGUUCCUGUCCAACGUUAAUCGGGGCAGGGUGAGUCGACCCCUAAGGCGAGGCCGAAAGGCGUAGUCGAUGGGAAACAGGUUAAUAUUCCUGUACUUGGUGUUACUGCGAAGGGGGGACGGAGAAGGCUAUGUCGGCCGGGCGACGGUUGUCCCGGUUUAAGCGUGUAGGCUGACUUUCCAGGCAAAUCCGGAAGGUUAAGGCUGAGGCGUGAUGACGAGGCACCACGGUGCUGAAGUGACAAAUGCCCUGCUUCCAGGAAAAGCCUCUAAGCAUCAGGUAACAUCAAAUCGUACCCCAAACCGACACAGGUGGUCAGGUAGAGAAUACCAAGGCGCUUGAGAGAACUCGGGUGAAGGAACUAGGCAAAAUGGUGCCGUAACUUCGGGAGAAGGCACGCUGACAUGUAGGUGAAGCCCCUGCGGGUGGAGCUGAAGUCAGUCGAAGAUACCAGCUGGCUGCAACUGUUUAUUAAAAACACAGCACUGUGCAAACACGAAAGUGGACGUAUACGGUGUGACGCCUGCCCGGUGCCGGAAGGUUAAUUGAUGGGGUUAUCGCAAGAGAAGCUCCUGAUCGAAGCCCCGGUAAACGGCGGCCGUAACUAUAACGGUCCUAAGGUAGCGAAAUUCCUUGUCGGGUAAGUUCCGACCUGCACGAAUGGCGUAAUGAUGGCCAGGCUGUCUCCACCCGAGACUCAGUGAAAUUGAACUCGCUGUGAAGAUGCAGUGUACCCGCGGCAAGACGGAAAGACCCCGUGAACCUUUACUACAGCUUGACACUGAACAUUGAGCCUUGAUGUGUAGGAUAGGUGGGAGGCUUUGAAGCGUGGACGCCAGUCUGCGUGGAGCCGACCUUGAAAUACCACCCUUUAAUGUUUGAUGUUCUAACCUGGCGCCGUGAUCCGGCGUGGGGACAGUGUCUGGUGGGUAGUUUGACUGGGGCGGUCUCCUCCCAAAGUGUAACGGAGGAGCACGAAGGUCAGCUAAUCCUGGUCGGACAUCAGGAGGUUAGUGCAAUGGCAUAAGCUGGCUUGACUGCGAGAGUGACGGCUCGAGCAGGUGCGAAAGCAGGUCAUAGUGAUCCGGUGGUUCUGUAUGGAAGGGCCAUCGCUCAACGGAUAAAAGGUACUCCGGGGAUAACAGGCUGAUACCGCCCAAGAGUUCAUAUCGACGGCGGUGUUUGGCACCUCGAUGUCGGCUCAUCACAUCCUGGGGCUGAAGUAGGUCCCAAGGGUAUGGCUGUUCGCCAUUUAAAGUGGUACGCGAGCUGGGUUUAGAACGUCGUGAGACAGUUCGGUCCCUAUCUGCCGUGGGCGCUGGAGAAUUGAGGGGGGCUGCUCCCAGUACGAGAGGACCGGAGUGGACGCAUCACUGGUGUUCGGGUUGUCAUGCCAAUGGCACUGCCCGGUAGCUAAAUGCGGAAGAGAUAAGUGCUGAAAGCAUCUAAGCACGAAACUUGCCCCGAGAUGAGUUCUCCCUGAGACUGUAAGUCUCCUGAAGGAACGUUGAAGACGACGACGUUGAUAGGCCGGGUGUGUAAGCGCAGCGAUGCGUUGAGCUAACCGGUACUAAUGAACCGUGAGGCUUAACCUUACAACGCCAAAGAAGU